Molecule: transfer RNA, 72 nt
Filed under: Odocoileus virginianus texanus
Lineage: Eukaryota; Metazoa; Chordata; Mammalia; Artiodactyla; Cervidae
Also listed under: 8 other names
Rfam family: tRNA
About the family: Transfer RNA (tRNA) molecules are approximately 80 nucleotides in length. Their secondary structure includes four short double-helical elements and three loops (D, anti-codon, and T loops).
Source: Rfam by way of RNAcentral
UCCCUGGUGGCUCAGAUGGUAAAGAAUCUGCCUGCAAUGCAGGAGACCCAGGUUCAAGCCCUGGGUUGGGAA